Long non-coding RNA from Cygnus atratus (black swan), 712 nucleotides. RefSeq lists it as uncharacterized. The record is from RefSeq and is a predicted model, not a curated record. Lineage: Eukaryota; Metazoa; Chordata; Aves; Anseriformes; Anatidae. The transcript is spliced from 2 exons.
GCUGUACUUAUUGUUCUUGGAAAGGACAAGAGAGGAUAAGGACAGCUAUUUCCUUAUUGUUCUGUGCAGAAGGUUAAUUUUUUCUAAACCAAAGCUUAGCCAUUUAUCCGAGUCUACAAAGGUACUUCUGACUCUCAUCAUCUACUUCUAGUACCUUCCCUUACCUAUCCAUACCCAUUGGCAGCAUGGUUAUCCACCAUCCCACAGAGCACUCAGAAAGCCCCUGCACCCUUGAAAAUAUACCAAAUCAGUAGUAUGUAUUUUACAUGUUAUGAGACCAAAUGACUCAAGCAUCAACCCCUUUGCUUUUCGUAGGUCCGCCAAAAUACGCUUCAGUCAUACAAAAGUGAAAAUCCUUGCAAAAAGCUCAGGGCCACAAUGGUGAUUCCUGUUCCUGUAUUUUCCAGUUCCAUCAUGUAAAGAAGAGUGACAAACUGCUUCAGAAGUGAGUUUUUUUCACAGUAUGCUCUGACAGUGGACCUUGUCCUAGCCUACUGCCUUCUGCUGUUUCUCCAGCAAAAAAGGGACUUCACAUUGAUCAGGAAAGGCAACUGGGAUGUCACCCACCACAGGAAAAAUCUCCUUCAUGCUCUUUGUGUAGCUGUUUUAGGCAUGGUCUCUGUCUGCAGUGUGGAAAUUUAGGCAAUGAAUUCCACCAUGACAACAAGUGGUUAUUACUGUGUGCAAUAAUAAAAUGACUUUCUGGCAUCUC